AGUGAACGCUGGCGGCAGGCCUAACACAUGCAAGUCGAACGGCAGCACAAGAGAGCUUGCUCUCUGGGUGGCGAGUGGCGGACGGGUGAGGAAUGCAUCGGAAUCUGCCCAUUUGUGGGGGAUAACCUCGGGAAACCGGGACUAAUACCGCAUACGACCUACGGGUGAAAGCAGGGGAUCUUCGGACCUUUCGCAGAUGGAUGAGCCGAUGCCGGAUUAGCUAGUUGGAGGGGUAAAGGCCCACCAAGGCGACGAUCCGUAGAUGGUCUGAGAGGAUGAUCAGCCACACUGGGACUGAGACACGGCCCAGACUCCGACGGGAGGCAGCAGUGGGGAAUAUUGGACAAUGGGCGCAAGCCUGAUCCAGCAAUGCCGCGUGUGUGAAGAAGGCCUUCGGGUUGUAAAGCACUUUUGUUGGGAAAGAAAAGCAGCCGGUUAAUACCCGGUUGUCAUGACGGUACCCAAAGAAUAAGCACCGGCUAACUUCGUG
This 490-nucleotide ribosomal RNA is filed under the name uncultured bacterium. RNAcentral describes it as "partial 16S ribosomal RNA". It matches the Rfam family "Bacterial small subunit ribosomal RNA", at positions 29 to 507 of the family's 1533-position model. The record is from RNAcentral.